Molecule: ribosomal RNA, 466 nt
Filed under: uncultured bacterium
Lineage: Bacteria
Description: partial 16S ribosomal RNA
Rfam family: Bacterial small subunit ribosomal RNA
Source: RNAcentral
GACGAACGCUGGCGGCGUGCUUAACACAUGCAAGUCGAACGGUAAGGCUCCAUCUUGCUGGGGUACACGAGUGGCGAACGGGUGAGUAACACGUGGGUGACCUGCCCUGCACUUCGGGAUAAGCCUGGGAAACUGGGUCUAAUACCGGAUAGGACCAUGGUGUGGAUACUGUGGUGGAAAGUUUUUUCGGUGUGGGAUGGGCCCGCGGCCUAUCAGCUUGUUGGUGGGGUAAUGGCCUACCAAGGCGGCGACGGGUAGCCGGCCUGAGAGGGUGGACGGCCACAUUGGGACUGAGACACGGCCCAGACUCCUACGGGAGGCAGCAGUGGGGAAUAUUGCACAAUGGGCGGAAGCCUGAUGCAGCGACGCCGCGUGGGGGAUGACGGCCUUCGGGUUGUAAACUCCUUUCACCAUCGACGAAGGGUUUCUGACGGUAGAUGGAGAAGAAGCACCGGCUAACUACGUG